UGGGGAAUAUUGCGCAAUGGGGGCAACCCUGACGCAGCCAUGCCGCGUGAGUGAAGAAGGCCUUAGGGUUGUAAAACUCUUUCACCGGUGAAGAUAAUGACGGUAGCCGGAGAAGAAGCCCCGGCUAACUCCGUGCCAGCAGCCGCGGUAAUACGGAGGGGGCAAGCGUUGUUCGGAUUUACUGGGCGUAAAGGGCGCGUAGGCGGACGGUCAAGUCAGAGGUGAAAGGCCCGGGCUCAACCUGGGACGUGCCUUUGAAACUGAUUGUCUUGAGUGCGGAAGAGGGUGACGGAAUUCCCAGUGUAGAGGUGAAAUUCGUAGAUAUUGGGAAGAACACCGGUGGCGAAGGCGGUCACCUGGUCCGCAACCGACGCUGAGGCGCGAAAGCGUGGGGAGCAAACAGGAUUAGAUACCCGUGUAGUCC
RNAcentral lists this ribosomal RNA (424 nucleotides) under uncultured prokaryote. RNAcentral's name for it is "bacterial SSU rRNA". It matches the Rfam family "Bacterial small subunit ribosomal RNA", at positions 355 to 796 of the family's 1533-position model. The record is from RNAcentral.